Molecule: ribosomal RNA, 379 nt
Filed under: uncultured bacterium
Lineage: Bacteria
Description: bacterial SSU rRNA
Rfam family: Bacterial small subunit ribosomal RNA
Source: RNAcentral
AAUCAACGCUGGCGGCGUGCCUCAGACAUGCAAGUCGAACGCGAAAUUUCCCUUCGGGGAGAAAGUAGAGUGGCGCACGGGUGAGUAACACGUAGGUAAUUUGCCUUUGGGUGGGGAAUAACUCAGGGAAAUUUGAGCUAAUACCGCAUAAUGCAGCGGCUCGACAUCGAGACAGUUGUUAAAGCGGGGGAUUGGAGCAAUCCGACCUCGCGCCUAAAGAGAAGCCUGCGGCAGAUUAGCUAGUUGGUAAGGUAAUGGCUUACCAAGGCGACGAUCUGUAACCGGCCUGAGAGGGCGGUCGGUCACACUGACACUGACAUACGGGUCAGACUCCUACGGGAGGCAGCAGUCGGGAAUUUUGGGCAAUGGGCGCAAAGCC